GCUAGCGGCAGGCUAAUACAUGCAAGUCGUGGGGCAGCAGGGCUGUAGCAAUACAGUCGCUGGCGACCGGCAAACGGGUGCGGAACACGUACACAACCUUCCUCUAAGUGGGGGAUAGCCCGGGGAAACCCGGAUUAAUACCCCGUAACAUAAUGGAGUGGCAUCACUUUAUUAUUAAAGCUACGGCGCUAAGAGAUGGGUGUGCGGCUGAUUAGGUAGUUGGCGGGGUAACGGCCCACCAAGCCUACGAUCAGUAACUGGUGUGAGAGCACGACCAGUCACACGGGCACUGAGACACGGGCCCGACUCCUACGGGAGGCAGCAGUAAGGAAUAUUGGACAAUGGACGAAAGUCUGAACCAGCCAUGCCGCGUGGAGGAUGAAGGUCCUCUGGAUUGUAAACUUCUUUCAUCUGGGAAGAAACCCAUGGAUUCUUCUGUGGUUGACGGUCCAGAUGAAUAAGCACCGGCUAAC
This 473-nucleotide ribosomal RNA is filed under the name uncultured soil bacterium. Its description in RNAcentral is "bacterial SSU rRNA". It matches the Rfam family "Bacterial small subunit ribosomal RNA", at positions 35 to 501 of the family's 1533-position model. The record is from RNAcentral.